GAAUGCUGACAUAAGUAACGAUAAAGCGGGUGAAAAGCCCGCUCGCCGGAAGACCAAGGGUUCCUGUCCAACGUUAAUCGGGGCAGGGUGAGUCGACCCCUAAGGCGAGGCCGAAAGGCGUAGUCGAUGGGAAACGGGUUAAUAUUCCCGUACUUGGUGUUACUGCGAAGGGGGGACGGAGAAGGCUAUGUUGGCCGGGCGACGGUUGUCCCGGUUUAAGCGUGUAGGUGUGUGUUCCAGGUAAAUCCGGUUCACUUUAACACUGAGGCGUGACGACGAGGCACUACGGUGCUGAAGCAACAAAUGCCCUGCUUCCAGGAAAAGCCUCUAAGCAUCAGGUAACACGAAAUCGUACCCCAAACCGACACAGGUGGUCAGGUAGAGAAUACCAAGGCGCUUGAGAGAACUCGG
Molecule: ribosomal RNA, 411 nt
Filed under: Salmonella enterica subsp. enterica
Lineage: Bacteria; Pseudomonadati; Pseudomonadota; Gammaproteobacteria; Enterobacterales; Enterobacteriaceae
Description: partial 23S ribosomal RNA
Rfam family: Bacterial large subunit ribosomal RNA
Source: RNAcentral